CACGUAGGGGGCGAGCGUUGUCCGGAAUCAUUGGGCGUAAAGAGCUCGUAGGUGGCUCAGCAAGUCGGGUGUGAAAUUCUCAGGCUCAACCUGAGAACGCCACCCGAUACUGCUGUGGCUAGAGUCCAGUAGGGGAGUGUGGAAUUCCCGGUGUAGCGGUGAAAUGCGCAGAUAUCGGGAGGAACACCAGCGGCGAAGGCGGCACUCUGGGCUGGUACUGACACUGAGGAGCGAAAGCGUGGGUAGCGAACAGG
This 254-nucleotide ribosomal RNA is filed under the name uncultured bacterium. RNAcentral describes it as "partial 16S ribosomal RNA". It matches the Rfam family "Bacterial small subunit ribosomal RNA", at positions 524 to 776 of the family's 1533-position model. The record is from RNAcentral.